This is a non-coding RNA of Vicia faba (fava bean), 237 nucleotides long. NCBI's taxonomy places the organism in Eukaryota, Viridiplantae, Streptophyta, Magnoliopsida, Fabales, Fabaceae. The record is from the annotation of a GenBank genome assembly.
AUGACUGUUGAGCCUUCGCGCAAGAUUCCUUCUUCUUCUUCAUUAAAGUUGCGGACGGCGCCGAUCUCAGACUCAACUUCCUUCACCGCUCUCAGACUUCUUCACCUCUCAAACAUAUUCACCGUUUUAACUCCAUCAUCGGCCGCUUCAACCUCGACCUCACAAUCGCGAUCAACAAUGUCUCUCAUCUCCGAUCCGCCGGAAAUCAGUCCAACGCUUCUGCAAGCUCGACGAUGA